This 360-nucleotide unclassified non-coding RNA is filed under the name uncultured Ascomycota. RNAcentral's name for it is "partial contains 18S rRNA, ITS1, 5.8S rRNA, ITS2 and 28S rRNA". The stretch from base 150 to 304 matches the Rfam family "5.8S ribosomal RNA". The record is from RNAcentral. Lineage: Eukaryota; Fungi; Ascomycota.
GGAUCAUUAACGAUUUCGGCGUAAAAAACCGUUUUCUACUUAUGUCUACGCGUACCACUUGUUUCCUCGGGGGGCUUGCCCCCCGCUAGGACCUUUUAUCAAACCUUUUUGUAAUAGCAGUCAGCGUCUGAUACUACGUUAAUUAUUAAAACUUUCAACAAUGGAUCUCUUGGUUCUGGCAUCGAUGAAGAACGCAGCGAAAUGCGAUAAGUAGUGUGAAUUGCAGAAUUCAGUGAAUCAUCGAAUCUUUGAACGCACAUUGCGCCCCUUGGUAUUCCAUUGGGGCAUGCCUGUUCGAGCGUCAUUUGAACCCUCAAGCUCUGCUUGGUGUUGGGUGUUUGUCCCGCCAUCGCGCGUGGA